This 979-nucleotide long non-coding RNA is filed under the name Equus asinus (donkey). RNAcentral describes it as "lncRNA (ENSEASG00005034529.1)". The record is from RNAcentral. Lineage: Eukaryota; Metazoa; Chordata; Mammalia; Perissodactyla; Equidae.
CUUAGCCUAGAGAAUUAAGUAAACAUGUGUUACUUCACUCCUACACACCGUUUAAACGCAGCUAACAGGCUUUCUGAAUAAACCAGCCCGCCCCCGGCGGUAUCAGGAGUUAGGUUCCGCAUAUGCUGUCGCCAGGCUGCAGCCGCCUGAGGGGACUCGCCCGGGGCCCCGCCCUCAGAGCUCACACCCGCCGUGCGCUCGCGCCCCAGGGGCCGCCCCCCGACACUCCAGUGCGACUCUGCGUGCACAGGCCAGAGGCUCAGAACCAGCGCCGGGCUGCCCUGCUCGGCCUCCUGGGCGCAGCGGCGUUUGCCCGUGCACGUGCCCUCGCAUCGCGCGCUCCGGGGCCGGGCUCCGGGCGGUUCUCGCCGCUGCAGUUCCACCGGGACUUCCGCGCUUCGGCGGCCUGUCUGACGAGCCGCCGCGCCCAGAGAGGUUCAGGUUGGAGCGACACUUGCCAGAGGGCAGCGGUCACGCCAGAUCUUCGGCUUCCAUUCCGUUUUCGCGCGCUUCUCCCUCUUUGCAAGCUCUGGAUUCUCUUUGUUCUUUCCCAGUAGAGGAAUCCCAAGGAGGACUGAUCCGUUUUGGCAGGUGCACAACCAUGGUCUUCCAGGUAUAGUGAGGCUGGUCUAUUUGAGACCCCCCUGGCUUUCUGUUGGCUCCCAUAGGCUUGGAUGCUGCUGCCCCAUCAUGACCGGUGAUGAUGCUUGUCCUGGGUUGUCUGAAGGUUCGCACUUAAGUAUCUCUGGUGAGAUGCCCCACGGACAGCUUUACGCAGCACACUAGGAGGUGGGCUUCUUGAAGAUCCAUUACCAUGGCUUACUCGCAGAGUCCUUUCAGUGGUAUAACUUGGAAAGUGUUUGAUCCUUUCAAGACUGGCCCUGAGCUCCAGCAUACUAUUGGCCAAGAACACAUGAUACCUGAUUUUCACUGAGGGGCUCAUUUAGAGAUGCUCCUUUUAUGUGGGACCCAGCGGUAC